Molecule: long non-coding RNA, 240 nt
Filed under: Musa acuminata (dwarf banana)
Lineage: Eukaryota; Viridiplantae; Streptophyta; Magnoliopsida; Zingiberales; Musaceae
Description: long non-coding RNA (MACU_LNC008540)
Source: RNAcentral
UUGAACGAUGUCUUCACAACCCCUGCAGCCUAGUGAUCAAGAAAAUGACAUGCGCGUGCCGAGGACGGAAUCUCACACAGCAAAACAGAGUGCCGGGGGAAUUCCAGUGAACCCCAUCAACGGCCGUUGGCACGCGAGCAACCACCCCAACAUCCUCCGCCGCGGCCCAUCCUCUCCUUGCGUGACGCCCAUCAUUCGGUCCAAUAACCGGAGGCUCAAUCUAGAAUGGGGAAAGAAAAC